This 104-nucleotide small nuclear RNA is filed under the name Cercocebus atys (sooty mangabey). The record is from RNAcentral. Lineage: Eukaryota; Metazoa; Chordata; Mammalia; Primates; Cercopithecidae.
GGGCUCGCUUCGGCAGCACACAUGCUAAAAUUGGAAUGAUACAGAAGAUUAGCAUGGCCCCUGCGCAAGGAUGACAUGCAAUUCGUGAAGCAUUUCGUAUUUUU